GAGUUUGGUCCUGGCUCAGGAUGAACGCUGGCGGCGUGCCUAAUACAUGCAAGUCGAGCGAACAGAUAAGGAGCUUGCUCCUUUGAAGUUAGCGGCGGACGGGUGAGUAACACGUGGGUAACCUACCUAUAAGACUGGGAUAACUUCGGGAAACCGGAGCUGAUACCGGAUAACAUUUAGAACCGCAUGGUUCUAAAGUGAAAGAUGGUUUUGCUAUCACUUAUAGAUGGACCCGCGCCGUAUUAGCUAGUUGGUAAGGUAACGGCUUACCAAGGCGACGAUACGUAGCCGACCUGAGAGGGUGAUCGGCCACACUGGAACUGAGACACGGUCCAGACUCCUACAGGAGGCAGCAGUAGGGAAUCUUCCGCAAUGGGCGAAAGCCUGACGGAGCAACGCCGCGUGAGUGAUAAAGGGUUUCGGCUCGUAAAACUCUGUUAUCAGGGAAGAACAAAUGUGUAAGUAACUGUGCACAUCUUGGCGGUACCUAAUCGGAAAGCCACGGCUAACUACGUGCCAGCAGCC
This 525-nucleotide ribosomal RNA is filed under the name uncultured bacterium. Its description in RNAcentral is "bacterial SSU rRNA". It matches the Rfam family "Bacterial small subunit ribosomal RNA", at positions 9 to 516 of the family's 1533-position model. The record is from RNAcentral.